Molecule: long non-coding RNA, 316 nt
Filed under: Oryza brachyantha (malo sina)
Lineage: Eukaryota; Viridiplantae; Streptophyta; Magnoliopsida; Poales; Poaceae
Description: long non-coding RNA (OBRA_LNC000195)
Source: RNAcentral
GCGGCGCCGCGCCCCCGUCCUCCUCUUCCUACUCCGUCGGUCCCGUCGCCCGUUCGCCAACGCCGCCGCCUCCUUGAUCUCUCCGUCAGCGUGGGCUCCUCCAUCUCCUCUCUCCAAAGCACUCUUGUCCCACAGCGCGUAGCCACGGCGACGGCGUGCCUUCACUGAGUUCGAGGCGGAGCCGUGCGCGUCCUCAUGGAGCUAUCGUGGCUUCUGCGGGGCGACAUGAAAGUGGGGCCAUGUACACUGUGAUAUGUACACUGUGAUCGACAUGGCGGGAUAGGGGCACUCGCCACGUCUGCGUAGUGUAAAUGCC